UUUCAGAGUUUAUUUUGUAGUACCAACAAACUUUGGUAAUUUAGCAAAUUGUAGCAAUAAAAAUGCACUCUCGACAAGGUCUCAGUGAGCUUGUGACAAAUAAAUAGCACAGUGAUACUAAUUUACACAACAAAAAUACUACUAUAAAUUUCAUAAUCAAAAGGACAGAAAUGAAUUAUAACGCUUCUUCUUGUCACUACUUUACACUGGGAUCUUUGUCUUUUUAAAUAAAGCUUUUCCAUUUUUGAAGUACCACUUAGCAUGUUGUCCUUUAAUAAUAAAUAGAUUGUUGUCCAUUUCAACAUGCAAAACUGCUUUGUUUUUGAGAAUGUUCCACAUAUACUAUAUACACUUAAAACAAAACAAUUAAAAAAAAAAAACAUUCUGUCUUUCACAAACUCUCUUUAAUAUCACACAUCCCAGAAGCUUAAUGUAUAUUAUCAAAAUGAUUUAUGGUUGUUGUAGUGUUGAUAAAGAAACAUGAUCAGCAUAUACCAACUUUGAACAUCGUAAUAUACUCAAUUUGGUGUUAUACAUAGUUUAUUUAUUUAUUUAUUUUUUAAAAAAGUCUAUGCUUUUAGGAAAGGUUCACUUGGACACAUGCUCAGAGAAGGUUCCCGUUGAUAAAGCUUGGACACACAGCUGAAUGCCUAUUGAGUCCUCUACUGGUUCACUGACUAUUUCAAAAUCAGUGACUUGGACAAUAAUACAUAUAUAUUUUCCCCUUUUAGAAUUCAGGUCAAACAAAUAUUUCCAUUUCAUUAUAUAUACACACAAAUGUGGACUUAAAUAAGUAUUCUUCUGAGCAGAGAUGCAACGACAUUAUUAUAAUCAUUUUUUUCACAAACAUCUUGCAGAAAUCACUCCAAUACCGUUCUUAACCAUGUAGUAGUUUAAGGUCCCCCUGUUUCUGUAAUACCGUUCUUAACCAUGUUGUAGUUUAAGGUCCCCCUGUUUCUGUAAUACCGUUCUUAACCAUGUUGUAGUAUAAGGUCCCCCUGUUUCUCUAAUACCGUUCUUAACCAUGUUGUAGUUUAAGGUCCCCCCUGUUUCUCUAAUACCGUUCUUAACCAUGUUGUAGUUUAAGGUCCCCCUGUUUCUCUAAUACCGUUCUUAACCAUGUUGUAGUUUAAGGUCCCCCUGUUUCUCUAAUACCGUUCUUAACCAUGUUGUAGUUUAAGGUCCCCCUGUUUCUCUAAUACCGUUCUUAACCAUGUUGUAGUUUAAGGUCCCCCUGUUUCUCUAAUACCGUUCUUAACCAUGUUGUAGUUUAAGGUCCCCCUGUUUCUCUAAUACCGUUCUUAACCAUGUUGUAGUUUAAGGUCCUCCCCUGUUUCUCUAAUACCGUUCUUAACCAUGUUGUAGUUUAAGGUCCCCCCUGUUUCUCUAAUACCGUUCUUAACCAUGUAGUAGUUUAAGGUCCCCCCUGUUUCUCUAAUACCGUUCUUAACCAUGUAGUUUAAGGUCCCCCUGUUUCUCUAAUACCGUUCUUAACCAUGUUGUAGUUUAAGGUCCCCCCUGUUUCUCUAAUACCGUUCUUAACCAUGUUGUAGUUUAAGGUCCCCCCUGUUUCUCUAAUACCGUUCUUAACCAUGUUGUAGUUUAAGGUCCCCCUGUUUCUCUAAUACCGUUCUUAACCAUGUAGUAGUUUAAGGUCCCCCCUGUUUCUCUAAUACCGUUCUUAACCAUGUUGUAGUUUAAGGUCCCCCUGUUUCUCUAAUACCGUUCUUAACCAUGUUGUAGUUUAAGGUCCCCCCUGUUUCUCUAAUACCGUUCUUAACCAUGUAGUUUAAGGUCCCCCUGUUUCUCUAAUACCGUUCUUAACCAUGUUGUAGUUUAAGGUCCCCCCUGUUUCUCUAAUACCGUUCUUAACCAUGUUGUAGUUUAAGGUCCCCCCUGUUUCUCUAAUACCGUUCUUAACCAUGUUGUAGUUUAAGGUCCCCCCUGUUUCUCUAAUACCGUUCUUAACCAUGUAGUUUAAGGUCCCCCUGUUUCUCUAAUACCGUUCUUAACCAUGUUGUAGUUUAAGGUCCCCCCUGUUUCUCUAAUACCGUUCUUAACCAUGUUGUAGUUUAAGGUCCCCCUGUUUCUCUAAUACCGUUCUUAACCAUGUUGUAGUUUAAGGUCCCCCCUGUUUCUCUAAUACCGUUCUUAACCAUGUUGUAGUUUAAGGUCCCCCUGUUUCUCUAAUACCGUUCUUAACCAUGUUGUAGUUUAAGGUCCCCCUGUUUCUCUAAUACCGUUCUUAACCAUGUUGUAGUUUAAGGUCCCCCCUGUUUCUCUAAUACCGUUCUUAACCAUGUUGUAGUUUAAGGUCCCCCUGUUUCUCUAAUACCGUUCUUAACCAUGUUGUAGUUUAAGGUCCCCC
Oncorhynchus keta (chum salmon) is the source of this 2368-nucleotide long non-coding RNA. RefSeq lists it as uncharacterized. Lineage: Eukaryota; Metazoa; Chordata; Actinopteri; Salmoniformes; Salmonidae. The transcript has 6 exons. The record is from RefSeq and is a predicted model, not a curated record.